Molecule: unclassified non-coding RNA, 300 nt
Filed under: Melitaea cinxia (Glanville fritillary)
Lineage: Eukaryota; Metazoa; Arthropoda; Insecta; Lepidoptera; Nymphalidae
Description: misc RNA ENSMCXG00005013773.1
Source: RNAcentral
AUAGGCCUCCACAAGUUUACGCCAAAAAUAACGUGAACUCAUGUGUUUUGCCCAUAGUCACCACGCUGGGCAGGCGGGUUGGUGACCGCAGUACCUACUGGCUUUGUCGCACCGAAGACGCUGCUGCCCGUCUUCGGCCUGUGUAUUUCAAAGCCAGCAGUUGGAUGGUUAUCCCGCCAUCGGUCGGCUUCUUAAGUUCCAAGGUGGUUGUGGAACCUUGUUAUCCCUUAGUCGCCUCUUACGACACCCACGGGAAGAGACGGGGUGGCUAAAUUCUUUAGUGCCGUAGCCACACAGCAC